GCAAGUUUUAGCUAUAAAAUGACAAUAAUAUUUCACAUAAAAUGGUUACUAUUAAUUGUUACUACCACUUCCUACUUAGUGAUUUAUGUAAUAAGCUAUGCCCCAAACCUACCAGGUUUAACUCUUGGAAUUUGGUGUGAACUGAAUUGUAUUCCCCUCAAAUUCGUUUAUUGAAACACUAAUGUGCUGACAUUAGAAGGCGAGGCAUUUGGGAGGUAAUUAGGUCACGAAGGUAGAAUCCUCAUGAUGGGAUUAAUGUCCUUAUUAGAACAGACUCAAGAGAAAUUUUACUCUUUGCCAUGAGAAGACACAUAAAAAAAAAAAAAAAGAUGAAGUCUGCAAGCCAGGAAGCAAGCUCCCACCAAGAACUGAGUCAGCCAGCACCUUGUUCUUGAAUUUCCCAGCCUCCAGAACUGUGAGAAAUAAAUAUUAGUAGUUCAAGUCACCCAGACGGUGAUAUUUUUGGAUAUUUUGUGACAGCAGCCCAUACAAACCAAGGCUAUCAUCAAGCAAACAAUUCGGAAGUUCACAAUUUUUUUUCUGUCAAGUAUGUGGUGUUCGCAAAUUGAAAGCAUCUUGGAUUUCAGACUUGGGUGAAAUGUCCUACCAGACGGUAUGAUAUUUAGUAGCCCAGAAAGCUGCCAAGGAGUUGAAUGACACUAUCUGAAGAUAAUGAGCCAGUUUGCUGUCCACAGGGAGGAUUUCAUCAGUGGGAAACAGAUGCCUGGAAGACAUUAGAUUUGCUAAGUGUCUAUGCCAUAUGAUUCUGCUGUUUGCUUCUGAUUUAGAAUGCUGAGCUGACUCAAAAUCAAACUGUAAAUACGGCC
Symphalangus syndactylus (siamang) is the source of this 827-nucleotide long non-coding RNA. RefSeq lists it as uncharacterized. The record is from RefSeq and is a predicted model, not a curated record. NCBI's taxonomy places the organism in Eukaryota, Metazoa, Chordata, Mammalia, Primates, Hylobatidae.